AAAGCAGGACGCAAUUACAGUGCUUCAUUCUGUGGGAGUACUGCCAUUACCCUGCUGAGAGCAACAUCCUGCUUCAGAGUCACGACUUAUCAUUCUUCUGAUUGAUAGGACUGCUCUCUAGCGGAGACAGCU
Small nucleolar RNA from Astyanax mexicanus (Mexican tetra), 132 nucleotides. Ensembl annotates it as small nucleolar RNA, H/ACA box 69. Its record names the gene SNORA69. NCBI's taxonomy places the organism in Eukaryota, Metazoa, Chordata, Actinopteri, Characiformes, Acestrorhamphidae. The record is from Ensembl.